Molecule: transfer RNA, 76 nt
Filed under: Sphingomonas sp.
Lineage: Bacteria; Pseudomonadati; Pseudomonadota; Alphaproteobacteria; Sphingomonadales; Sphingomonadaceae
Description: tRNA-Val
Rfam family: tRNA
About the family: Transfer RNA (tRNA) molecules are approximately 80 nucleotides in length.
Source: RNAcentral
GGGCGAUUAGCUCAGCUGGUAGAGCGUCUCGUUUACACCGAGAAUGUCGGCGGUUCGAGCCCGUCAUCGCCCACCA